GACAGAAGACACAUUAUCAAGAAAUAUUACUGUGCUCAGAGGCUCGGAACAAGGAUCUAAUUAAAUUUCUCACAAAAAUUAGGGAAAGCUGUGCACUAACAUACUUUACCCACUAGAUGUCACUAAGAGCUGAGUGGAUGAUACAUCAUCUUAAAAUAUAAAAUAACGAGGAGCACUUUGUAACACUUUUUCAUUUACUGCUUUUGUAUGUAAAAGAACAAGAUGGUUUCUGGUCUUUGACUGCCUGGAUUUGAGGUGAAGUAUGUAAAACAUAGCAUAACCUAAUUUUGUCAGAUUUAACUAGAAAUUUUUUCUUUGGGAUUUACAUAAAAUAAGCACUUUGUAAAAUGUUUUAGAUUUUUUGGUAUACAUUUAUUGUUCUCUAAAUUUUAAAUAGAUACUAAAACAUACAUAAAUACUAAAUCUACACACAAACCUAGAACAUUUAUAUUUAUAGUCAGGAUUAAAUUUUUAUUUUAAUGUUAAUCAAAAUUUAUAUAAGAAUGUUAAAUGCAGCAUGCUUUAAAAAAAAAAAAAAAACUUUGCCUUAAAAUAAAUAUAUUUACCUUAAUAUAAAUAUUUAAAAUAAAUCUGGCAUUUUUUUUUAAAAGCAAGCUGCAUUUAACAUUCUUCACCCCAUUUAAUUUCAAGUUUGUUCCUUCUUUACAUACAAAAAUAAUUCAACAAGUCUCUAACAAGUCUAUAUACAAGUUUAUAUGCACAAAAUAGCUCAUAAUAAAUCUGUAUUAUCUCAAGCAAGUAUGUUUAAUAAUACAUGUCCUUUAAUAUUCAACAAAGAGCUGAAUUCCAUUUUCCCGGCACUUGAUCAGAAUUGGGUUUAACCCACCUUAUAAAUUAUGUACAUGAGAAUGAAAAUAUUGGCGAUGGUCAGGAAAGAGGAGUCAGUUAUGUUACAUCACCAGCCAUUGAGGAAUGGAAAAGGUCACGUAGGGGUCAAACUACUAAAGACCAAUGAGCACUGAGAAUGAGUGAACAUUCUGAAGUGCUGCCCUCUGGCCAAUCAAUACUGUAUACCAUGAAUAAAUUAAUGUGAUGAGUGUGGCUGCAUAGCAGUGUGUUAUUAAACUAAAACUUUUUUUUUUUUUUUAAUUGAAAAAGAAUUAGAAAUGUUGCCUUGGCAAGUAACUACAAUAAAAUAAGUGCAAGUUGAAGUACUACAAUUACUAAAACUGAAAUAUAAAAAUAAAAGCUAGAGAGGUAUAACAUUAUUGCACUAAAGUAAGUAAUAAAGGAAAAAAAAAUAACUUUAAAAGUUAAUUUAAUUGAGAGGGGAAUAACUUUAUGCUGAUACCAUUAGUUUGUGAUCUUAUUGAAUUAAGACUUAAAAAGACCUAAAAAGUAUCGUUCAUACCAAGAACGAUAACUAUAAAUAUAAUACAGAUUUAGUUCUAAAAAUCGUUGUCAAUAUUAAAGAAUAGCAGAGUUCACACCACACAGCAAUAACAAUAACGGCAAAGAGAAACAAUAUCGUUAGAAUCACUUUCAGAACGAUUUUAUCCAAAUGAUGAACGAUAAAAACAUUGACAGCCAAUCAGAAUCCAUCCUGCUGUAACAAGCUCAAGCAUUUAAAGUGACAGCCAAUCACACACCUAGAAUAAACAGAAUUAUAUCGUCCACUGAUGUGAAUGCUAAUGUAGUUUUCUUUAUAGUUAUCAUUCUGUGUGAAAGGGCCUUAACUCAAGAUUGUUUUUCAAUAAAAAACCUUGGUGUCGACUCAUUUCAGACAGAGCUUCCAUAUUAGGCAAGAGCUGUCUCAGUGAAAACAAAUGUUUCAUGCACUGCAAUUAUAGUUCUCUAUUUUUGCUCCAUAACAGCCAUUUCAUUUGUCAACAGAGACUAAAGCCAAAGAUUUUCAAGACCUAUAAAAAAUGAGACACCCAUAAAAUGACUCCAUAAAGAGUUUAAAAGAAGAAAACAGACCUCACUGUACCACUAAACAUUAUAUAAAAUAUCCAAAAUAAGUAAUUGAGAUGUGUUUUCACCUUGGUUAAGGGUGUAGUAAGGGAACACGAAGCAGUGUGUGUCAUCUCUAAAUCAGAUUUUAUGGACAGAACUAUCUGUUUUAUUAAAAGCCUUCAUACAAUGAUUAUAUAACAUGAAGUAGAAGUUGCUGAGGUAAUUGAUCCUUCACUUUAUUUGAGUAAUACAAGCUUCCAUGUGUUCCUAAAAGCCAACAACAUCAAAACAGUCCACUUUACUACUGCAUUACUACAUUACUGCUACAUUAAACUCAAUUUUAUUUUUAAGCUUUCAUAAAAGAACUUAUUUUUAUGAAGUACAAAAGCAUAUAAGCAGCGUGACAAAUAGGACAGAAAAAAACAGAUGAAUUAAUCUCUUGAGUAAAUAAACACUUGAGUAAUUAGACUUCAAAACACACCACAUUGUGGUGAGCCAAUAAAGUGGGCCAUUAACAGCGUGGAUCUCAACAUAACAGCCCAAAAAUAACACAUGCUUAUCAUCGCAAAUGAAAAAAUCAGUUUCAACUCCGUAGAUGCACUCUGGCUGCUCUUAUACAAAAAAACAUCACGUUUGAUGAGUGUGGACAUAAAUCAGUCAGGUAAUGUUUGCUCUCUCGCUCUCUCUGUGGUCAUUUAGAAGGCCAGAUAAUAACUCCAUCACUGACCAGACCUGGAAGACAUUUUGUACAUUGACUAAGCAGUAGACCUUCAGAAUAAAUCCACUUCCAGGAUGCUGUGUCAUUAAUUAUUGAUUGAACAGAUAUACUUGAAAUUAAAGAUGGAACGAAAAGCUACCUGAUUCACUCGGUCGGCAGAUUGAUCCCCCAAAUCAUCUGUUUAAAUAGUGGUAGACUGAUAUCGGUGAGGGUGAUUAAUCUGCUAAUAUCUGCCGAUUUGACAUUAUUGGCAUUGAUGGAUAAUGUACAGAACAUAAGCUUGCUUUUCCAAAAAAUUGGGUUAAUUUUCAACGAAAUAUUGUGUAAAAACAAAGAGUUUGCUCAUUUUUAGCCAUUUUGUUUACAUCACAUUAGGCAUAAAUAAACUCAUAUGAGUAUUCAAAUGAGUCAUAUGAAUUCAAGUCACCCUGCUCUGUAGAUACUGGCACUGAUAGUGGGGUAAAUUGUUUUUUUUUUUUUUUUAAUUAAUUCUUUUAUUCACCAAGGAUGCAUUAAAUUAAUAAAAAGUGAAAGUAACGACUUUCACUGACAUAAAAAAAUCUAUUUCAAAUAAGUGUUGUUCUUUCAAACUUUCUAUUUAUCAAAGAAUCCUGAAAAAUAUCAUAGUUUCCACAAAAAUAUUAAUCAGCACAACUGUUUUCAACAAUGAUAAUAACAAGAAAUGUUCAUUGAGCAGCAAAUCAGCAUAUUAGAAUGAUUUCUGAAGGAUCAUGUGACACUGAAGACUGGAGUAAUGAUGCUGAAAAUUCAGCUUUGACCACAGGAAUAAAUUAUAUUGUUUUGCAUGGUGCUUUGCUCCCUAAUGAACAUGAUUCUGCAAUACAAUAUGCCUGAAUUUAUUAACAGAUCCCAACUGUCCUAGGGAGAAGACUGCUUAUCACAUUCUGGCAGUACUGCGUGUGUCCUGGGCAUCGAGUCUACUACAAAUGAACCAAUAAAUAAUGUGAAUAUUGCAAGUUAUAAUGCAAUAUAAAAAUAUAAACAUAUAAUAUAAACAUAUAAUAUAAAUAUAAACAUAUAAUAUAAUAUAGAAAAUAUAAACAUUUUGAUUUCAUUUUCCAGGUCAGUAAGCUCUGUCUGGUUAAAAAGCAAUAAAAUUUGGUCCUACUGAGCACAAUUGGGUUUGCGCACACACCAUGUUUUCUCAGUAUGUUUUCGGCCUUUCCAAGAAAAGGGACAUAUAUGUUCAAAAGUCAAACCAUUUUAACUUAGCCCAGCAGACUUGACGGUGAAGGCUGAAGUUCAUAAUCCAAAGCAUGCUGAUAAACGCGGCCAUUGAGUCACAACUCUUACGCAACAUUUUUGCACACAAAAGAAGAUAUUUUAAAAAAUGUCUCCUAAAAUGUCCAUACAAUUAAAGUCUAUGGGACCCCAACAGUCUUAAAAAUAUCUUCUUUUGUGCUUCGCAGAAGAAAGUCAUACAGGUUUAGAAUGAAAUAAGGGAGAGUAAAUGAUGCCAGAAUUUUCUUCUUUUUUUGGGGGGUGAACUAUUCCUUUAACAGAACAUUUUUGGCUCAAUAAAUUGACAAUACACUAUAAGAAACUGCUCUCAAAAACAAACAGUCAGGGUCCAAACCCAUUUGAUGCAUUAAAUUCAUAAAAAGUGAGAGUAAAGACAUUUAUAAUAUUACAAAUGGUUUCUAUUUCAAAUAAUGCUGUUCUUUUGAACUUUCAAUUCAUCAAAAAUUCAUGGUAUCAUGAUGGACUCCACCAAAAUAUCAAGCAGCACAACUGUUUUCAACAUUGAUAAUAAUAAUAAAUGUUUAUUUAGCAGCGAAUCAUAUUAGAAAGAUUUCUGCAGGAUCAUGUGACACUGAAGACCAGAGCAAUGAUGCUGAAAAUCACAGCAAUAAAUGACAUUUUAAAAUAUAUUAAAAUAGAAAACUGUAUUUUUGAGAAGCUAGACUAAACACUAUUCCUGAAAUCAAGAUUCUCCCCCCAAAGAAACGCCACAUGACAUGUUUGGGGACACAGCACAAAGGCGUUUAAGACACAGGUUCAUGAAAGCCUGUAUUGUGCUGGCAGAGAUCAGUGGUCCAGAUUCCAUUGUUGAUUGUCUCAUCGAGGAAGGAAGUGUCAUUAUGUCAUCACACACGGCUGCCUGUUACAAUCAUUCAGCUCUGACAUUCAGGGGAAAGGUCAGCCUUCAGGUCAUCCAGUUCUCUGAAUCACUGCUAAGAUUCCGAUAUCUAUUAUGUAUGUUCUUAUCAGAUGCCAUCUCACCACAGUAACUUACAAGAAAGUAAAAGAGGUAAUUACCAAGCCAAGGAGCUGAGAUCACACACAACAUGCUGAGCUUAAAAUACCAGUACACCAAGAAAAUAAAACAAGGGAAUUAAAAUAAUCACGAACACAUCACGCUACACAUGGUUGCCAAAGACUAGUCCUUAAUGACGAGCUCUGGGUUGAAAACAAGUUAAAGGGGUGGUAUAAUGCCAUUUUUACUAGAUGUAAAAUAAGUCUCUGAUGUCCCCAGAGGUGUGUAUUUGAAGUUUUAGUUCAAAAUACCCUACAGAUAUUAUAGCAUGUUAAAUCUGUCACUUUUUGAGGGUGAGCAAAAAACGCUUAGUUUUUGUGUGUGUCCCUUUAAAUGCAAAUGAGCUGCUGCUCCUAAGAAGAGGGUGGAGUUUUAAGAGCUCAUGUUAGCACAUAGUGUUAGCAGCAUGAUUACCUCACUCAGACUCACUGAAAAUGUCAGAAACUGUUCAGCCUUUAUGUUCAAACUGGAGUCGGACAAUUAUGGAGAGACUCGAAAAGAAGUGACAACAUGUAGAAUGCAACAGGACGCUUCUGAACGAAUUAUCAUCUUUAUUGGUUGUGCAUCGGCACGGCUCCUCAGUGCGGACGAAUCUAAUGUUUACUGUCAGUUACCACAUCGGCAAGGAUACUGUACUUCGGAAUCGCAGAUUCUACGUCUUGAAAGUAUGACCAAAAUAAGAAUUUUCACCGGAAAACGUCAUCUGAACAAGUAAGUAACAUGUCUGCCACUUUUGUUCUGACCAACAGAAAAAAAGCAUUACAAUAAAUUUUAGCUCAUAACACAUCAAACCUUGCAAAUUAUUAUUAUUGUUAUACUUUAUUCUCAAAUUGUUAAUGUUAACAUCAUCAGCAUUGCAUGACUAUGUGUAUUUAGUGUGUAUUAGUGUUACUUGUAGAUUUCAAGUACUGUAGCCACUCUGCCGUCAGAAGUCUUUUGCUUUUGACUACGGGUGAAUCUCCAGUUGUCACUGAUGAUUGUCAUUUGGACCUUUCUGGAUUACAAUCCGCCAUCAAAAUGAUGUGACGUAAUGACGCAAAGACGAACGGCUGCAUGCUCGAAUUUCCCGUGGAAACCUACCAGGACCACCCGAAUUAGAAAACAUUAUUACAAGCUUACAGUUGUGAAUCAAGCUAAGGUCUGCUGAUGAACUGAAACAAUUCAAUCAGAAACAACAGUUCAAGCCAGUCUCACAUGCACAGUGACAUCUAACAACAUCAGGCCAUGAUAUUAGGAUGAACUUUUGGACCAGAAUUCUGCAUCAAUGAGCAGGCCGAGGGAAUGCAAUCAAUCUCUAAUUCAUGUGUCUCGGAGGAUAAAGUCGCAGAGUGAGAUGCACCUGCUGCUAGAGUCCCGGCCAAGCAGAAAGAAUGCUCAACAGACCCCAGAACAGGUGGCCUGGCAGAGGAAAUGUGUGUGUGGUGCUGCCAUGCCUGGCGUGUAAAAGUGAAACCGGGUCAUGGAACUCAAUGCGAGUAACACAGUGUUCAGGUAACAUAGCCCAGCACCACAUCAGCUGCGAGAGCCAGUGAGAAAGAGAGGUCUCAUCAAUAAGGCAUGAUCUGGAGGGACAGGAGGGACUUUAACUCUGUGUGUGUGUACUUGAAGAAGGGGACAUGAGGUUCGCCACGUCCAUAGAUGAUGAAAGAAUGUUUCUUGAAAGGAAUUGGUAAGGUCUAAAUGUAUGGUAGACUAAGUGUUAACUAGGUGUCAAAUAAGGUUGUUUAAUUGCAUUUAAUCAAUUUAAUUUUUAUUUUAUUUAAAUUAAAAUCAAUUUGUUUCUGUAAAGUCUAAGCUACUAAACGUACGGUAGACUAGGUGUUAACUACUAAUGUUAAAAUAUGAAAUGAAUUAAAUGAAUAAAUUGAAUUAAAUAAAUGAUUUAAUUAAUUUAAUUUAAUUACCCUAUUAACUUUCUUUAUAAAUAUUAAGUUGUUUUAUUUGCCACAAUUCAGUGAAAAAAUUAUUUUCAUAAAUAUUUAUAAAAAUGUUAUAUCUUUCUCUACCUCUGAAAUAAAUUAUUUGUUUUAUUUAAUUAUUAAAUUAAAAUAGAUUUGUUUCUUGAAAGGAAUCUGUACGGUCUAAUCUACUAAACGUAUGGUAGACUAUGUAUUAAAAUUAAUUAAAUUAAUAAAUUAACUAAAAUGUUUAUUUUAUCAAUUUUAUUUACCCUAUUAAUUUUCUUAAUAGUUGUUAAGUAUAUUUAUUUGCCACAAUUCAGUGCAAAUUCAUUUUCAUAAACAUUUAUUAAAAUACCAUAACUUUCUCCACCUCUGAAACAUCUUUGUGCUGACAUAACCAAUGAGAAAAACAAUAUUUAUUUAUCAGUAAUAUCACAGUUUAACAUUUUCAUCAAAUUCUGAUAUGUAAAAGUCCUGCCCUACAUUAUUCACGCUGAAUAUUCUUUUUUUCCACAGAAUUACAUCAAAAUAUGGUAAUUGCCCAGAUGUUAGGAAAAUUCCUUAUAUUUUAAAUGUUACAUUGAUAAGGCAUCAAGUCCAAGAUGAUGCCCCCCCUCCCCCUGUAGUUCAUGGUGUAUUUUAUGUGAUCUGGUCUGCCAUUGGAGAA
Molecule: long non-coding RNA, 7481 nt
Organism: Ctenopharyngodon idella (grass carp)
Lineage: Eukaryota; Metazoa; Chordata; Actinopteri; Cypriniformes; Xenocyprididae
Exons: 4
Source: RefSeq, a predicted model, not a curated record